RNAcentral lists this non-coding RNA (46 nucleotides) under Echinostoma caproni. Lineage: Eukaryota; Metazoa; Platyhelminthes; Trematoda; Plagiorchiida; Echinostomatidae. The record is from RNAcentral.
GCACUGUUGAAGAGUCCCAAACAGGACGAAACAGCUGAUCCAGUGC